UCCAAACAUCGGGUACCAUUGCUAGAUGGUCACUUCGAUUAGUACAGGAAUUGGUUCCUGUGCUACCGGUUUAGGUUCGAACCUGCGGGGUCACACACAUUAGAGGUUCCUAUCUGAUCUGAUGGCUGAUGAAGAGUCCUAAUACUCAUGGACUAUAUGUCCUACAUGUCUGGGACUCUGUGAUUGAGAAUCAGGAUUCUCUGAUCAUGAGUCCCACACAUUUUGGGUACCGGGGUCAAGAGUCCCACUGGUUUGGGACUCUUCGAUCAGGGUUACAUAUCGAUGAAUUCUGAUGCCCGAUUACCCAUCAGAU
RNAcentral lists this long non-coding RNA (313 nucleotides) under Elaeis guineensis (African oil palm). Its description in RNAcentral is "long non-coding RNA (EGUI_LNC069935)". The record is from RNAcentral. Lineage: Eukaryota; Viridiplantae; Streptophyta; Magnoliopsida; Arecales; Arecaceae.